This 402-nucleotide ribosomal RNA is filed under the name uncultured bacterium. RNAcentral's name for it is "bacterial SSU rRNA". It matches the Rfam family "Bacterial small subunit ribosomal RNA", at positions 355 to 774 of the family's 1533-position model. The record is from RNAcentral.
UGGGGAAUAUUGCACAAUGGGCGAAAGCCUGAUGCAGCAACGCCGCGUGAGUGAUGAAGGCCUUCGGGUUGUAAAGCUCUGUCUUUUGGGACGAUAAUGACGGUACCAAAGGAGGAAGCCACGGCUAACUACGUGCCAGCAGCCGCGGUAAUACGUAGGUGGCAAGCGUUGUCCGGAAUUACUGGGCGUAAAGAAUGCGUAGGUGGAUAUGCAAGUCAGAUGUGAAAUACCCGGGCUCAACUUGGGUGCUGCAUUUGAAACUAUAUAGCUAGAGUGCAGGAGAGNAAAGCGGAAUUCCUAGUGUAGCGGUGAAAUGCGUAGAGAUUAGGAAGAACACCAGUGGCGAAGGCGGCUUUCUGGACUGUAACUGACACUGAGGCAUGAAAGCGUGGGGAGCAAACA